Odocoileus virginianus texanus is the source of this 806-nucleotide non-coding RNA. The record is from RefSeq and is a predicted model, not a curated record. NCBI's taxonomy places the organism in Eukaryota, Metazoa, Chordata, Mammalia, Artiodactyla, Cervidae.
UCUUUAUUUUUCUUGAGGAACCAACUGUUUCCCAUGCCCAAUUGACAGGGUUCAUGUAGGCUAAUCUGACUCCUCUCCUGGAGCAGUGGGCAUCAACGUGGUGAGAAUCAAGAAGAGCCGAUCCCAAGACUUCUGCUAAAGCACCUAAGGAAGAGGCUGUCUCUGAACUGAGAUUGUUAGAAGAACAGACCCGAAACUCAGCUGGGAGCACAAUCCAUGUUGGGAUCACGCCUGAGAGCCUGCCUGAGACAGAGCCACAGAGAAGAAAGUCAAGGGCACUAAAUGCCGGAGCACCUUGCACCCUUCAAUCAGCGUGGCUGCUGGCGAUGCCCUCAUAGGACUCCAGACCUCCCCCUGGAGAGGCGGUGCUGCGCUCCACGGCCGUGUGAGCUACUGUACCAGUGUGUGGGUCUGUAUGCUGGCACGGGCCGCAGUCUUCUGCCACUGUGACAUUCGCACAAAUGUAGGAUUUCCAUCGUCUCAGACCGCUCAGAGGUGGCCUCCAGCCCUUCUCCAGGCCUUCUCAUUCACUGUACCAUCUGGAAUGCAUCAUUUUCAAAUGCAGACAUGGCCAUACAUGUAAAAGUGCAGGAGCCCCAUGUUACCAACUGCAUCCUGACUUUGGGCUUUCAGGCGGGCAUCUGUAUGUUAGCUACCUGUACCAUCUCUAAGUUUGGGGAAAUGGUUAAUAUCUUACAAAGCAAAACAAUAUGGCAGUAUGCUUUGAGAGUGAGAUUCUAGCAACGUGAAAGUCACCUGGAAAUGAGCAGGUUUCUAUGUAAUAAUGUACUUAUGUGUUGAGAAUG